RNAcentral lists this ribosomal RNA (476 nucleotides) under uncultured Acidobacteriota bacterium. RNAcentral's name for it is "bacterial SSU rRNA". It matches the Rfam family "Bacterial small subunit ribosomal RNA", at positions 8 to 485 of the family's 1533-position model. The record is from RNAcentral. Lineage: Bacteria; Pseudomonadati; Acidobacteriota.
AGAGUUUGAUCCUGGCUCAGAACGAACGCUGGCGGCGUGCUUAACACAUGCAAGUCGAGUGCGCGUUCCGUAGCAAUACGGGAUGGCGCACGGCGCACGGGUGCGUAACACGUGGGCAAUCUGCCCUUCGAUGGGGAAUAUCUUCGGGAAACCGAAGCGAAUUCCGCAUAACAUUCCUUGGACCUCGGUUCGAGGACUCAAAGCCGUAAGGCGUCGAAGGAGGAGCCCGCGCACGAUUAGCUAGUUGGUAGGGUAACGGCCUACCAAGGCUUUGAUCGUUAGCUGGUCUGAGAGGAUGGCCAGCCACACUGGAACUGAGACACGGUCCAGACUCCUACGGGAGGCAGCAGUGGGGAAUCUUGCACAAUGGGCGAAAGCCUGAUGCAGCGACGCCGCGUGGGGGAUGAAGCAUUUCGGUGUGUAAACCCCUUUCGACCCGGAAGAAUGCCUCGCAAGAGGACUGACGUACGGGAUAA